CCCUUAGAUGUCCGGGGCUGCACGCGCGCUACACUGAAUGAAUCAGCGUGCUAGAAAACCUUGUUUGACAUGGCUAGGUAACCCAUUGAAAAUCAUUCGUGAUUGGGAUCGGGACUUGCAAAUGUGUCCCUUGAACGAGGAAUUCCCAGUAAGUGCGGGUCAUCAGCUCGCGUUGAUUACGUCCCUGCCCUUUGUACACACCGCCCGUCGCUGCCCGGAACUGAGCCGUUUCGAGAAGACAGAGGAUUGCUGACUUGAGGCCUUCACGGGCUUCUAGUCGGUGAAAAUCAAUUUAAUCGCAGCGGCUUGAACCGGGCAAAAGUCGUAACA
RNAcentral lists this ribosomal RNA (330 nucleotides) under uncultured eukaryote. Its description in RNAcentral is "partial 18S ribosomal RNA". It matches the Rfam family "Eukaryotic small subunit ribosomal RNA", at positions 1470 to 1796 of the family's 1831-position model. The record is from RNAcentral.